RNAcentral lists this ribosomal RNA (464 nucleotides) under Vreelandella stevensii. Its description in RNAcentral is "partial 16S ribosomal RNA". It matches the Rfam family "Bacterial small subunit ribosomal RNA", at positions 338 to 795 of the family's 1533-position model. The record is from RNAcentral. Lineage: Bacteria; Pseudomonadati; Pseudomonadota; Gammaproteobacteria; Oceanospirillales; Halomonadaceae.
CCUACGGGAGGCAGCAGUGGGGAAUAUUGGACAAUGGGCGAAAGCCUGAUCCAGCCAUGCCGCGUGUGUGAAGAAGGCCUUCGGGUUGUAAAGCACUUUCAGUGGGGAAGAAAGCCUUGGGCUAAUACCCUCGAGGAAGGACAUCACCCACAGAAGAAGCACCGGCUAACUCCGUGCCAGCAGCCGCGGUAAUACGGAGGGUGCGAGCGUUAAUCGGAAUUACUGGGCGUAAAGCGCGCGUAGGCGGUCUGAUAAGCCGGUUGUGAAAGCCCCGGGCUCAACCUGGGAACGGCAUCCGGAACUGUCAGGCUAGAGUGCAGGAGAGGAAGGUAGAAUUCCCGGUGUAGCGGUGAAAUGCGUAGAGAUCGGGAGGAAUACCAGUGGCGAAGGCGGCCUUCUGGACUGACACUGACGCUGAGGUGCGAAAGCGUGGGUAGCAAACAGGAUUAGAUACCCUAGUAGUC